UACAGAGGGGGCAAGCGUUGUUCGGAAUUACUGGGCGUAAAGGGCGCGUAGGCGGCCUUCUAAGUCGAACGUGAAAUCCCCGGGCUCAACCCGGGAACUGCGUCCGAUACUGGAAGGCUUGAAUCCGGGAGAGGGAUGUGGAAUUCCAGGUGUAGCGGUGAAAUGCGUAGAUAUCCGGAGGAACACCGGUGGCGAAGGCGACAUCCUGGACCGGUACCGACGUUCAGGCACGAAAGCGUGGGGAGCAAACAGG
This 253-nucleotide ribosomal RNA is filed under the name uncultured bacterium. RNAcentral's name for it is "partial 16S ribosomal RNA". It matches the Rfam family "Bacterial small subunit ribosomal RNA", at positions 524 to 776 of the family's 1533-position model. The record is from RNAcentral.